This 253-nucleotide ribosomal RNA is filed under the name uncultured bacterium. RNAcentral describes it as "partial 16S ribosomal RNA". It matches the Rfam family "Bacterial small subunit ribosomal RNA", at positions 524 to 776 of the family's 1533-position model. The record is from RNAcentral.
UACGAAGGGAGCUAGCGUUGUUCGGAAUUACUGUGCGUAAAGCGCACGUAGGCGGAUUAGUAAGUCAGGGGUGAAAUCCCGGGGCUCAACCUUGGAAGUGCCUUUGAUACUGCUGAUCUCGAGGCCGGAAGAAGUGAGUGGAAUUCCUAGUGUAGAGGUGAAAUUCGUAGAUAUUAGGAAGAACCCCAGUGGCGAAGGCGGCUCACUGUUCCGGUACUGACGCUGAGGUGCCAAAGCCUGGGUAGCAAUCAGG